Non-coding RNA from Pygocentrus nattereri (red-bellied piranha), 841 nucleotides. The record is from the annotation of a RefSeq genome assembly. NCBI's taxonomy places the organism in Eukaryota, Metazoa, Chordata, Actinopteri, Characiformes, Serrasalmidae.
UAGCUGUGGAGAGCAGAGAAGAUCCCACAGGUCCAACUUCAACACCAACCAUGUUCUCUACAUCUCUACUGCUCCUGCUGGCAGCUGCAUCCUGUGUUCAUUGUGUUGAACUGACUCAGCCUGGUUCCAUGGUGGUCCGUCCAGGCCAGAGUCUGACCAUCGAUUGCAAGGUUUCAUAUUCAGUUACCAGUUAUUGGUCAGCUUGGAUCCGACAGCCUGCAGGAAAAGCUCUGGAGUGGAUUGGAUAUAUCAGUAGCGGUGGGGGCACAGGUUACAGUGAUAAACUGAAAAGCAAGUUCAGCAUCUCCAGAGACACUGGAACCAACACAAUAACAUUACGAGGACAGAAUCUGCAGACUGAAGACACAGCUGUGUAUUACUGUGCGAGAUACACAGUGACACUAACUAAUGAACACGGCUUACAAAAACCCAGAGCCGACUCUCAAGUAUUUUUAAAUGAAUGAGUUUCUUAGCUUGUGCCGUUUUUAGUAAUAUUUUUGCAUGUAAAAUCAAUGUACUGUUAAUAUAAAAAAAUAUAAUGAAAAAAAUGAUAGUAAAUAAAAAUAAACAUGAAAAACAUUGAAGAUUUAGACUAUAUAGUUUAUAGUUUCAUGAAAGUUGGGGACAGGAUCAACUGCCAACAUCAAAAUUAAGUUCAUAUAUUAAUAAUUAGCUCUCUAUGAAUUUGGGGACAAUGAGUGAAAACACACCCUCUAAUGUCCUUUUACUAUAAAGCUAAAUCAUAUCCAUGCUUGAGUUUAUCAUUUACUGGAUGAUGAUGAUGAUGAUACAUCCAUUAUAUUUCCAAAAGUUUUCACUCACCCAUCCAGAUCAUUGAAUU